This 253-nucleotide ribosomal RNA is filed under the name uncultured bacterium. Its description in RNAcentral is "partial 16S ribosomal RNA". It matches the Rfam family "Bacterial small subunit ribosomal RNA", at positions 524 to 776 of the family's 1533-position model. The record is from RNAcentral.
UACGGAGGGGACUAGCGUUGUUCGGAAUUACUGGGCGUAAAGCGCACGUAGGCGGAUUUGUAAGUCAGGGGUGAAAUCCCGGGGCUCAACCUCGGAACUGCCUUUGAUACUGCAAAUCUCGAGUCCGGAAGAGGUGAGUGGAAUUCCUAGUGUAGAGGUGAAAUGCGUAGAGAUGCGGAGGAACACCGAUGGCGAAGGCAGCCCCCUGGGCCAACACUGACGCUCAGGCACGAAAGCGUGGGGAGCAAACAGG